RNAcentral lists this ribosomal RNA (207 nucleotides) under uncultured bacterium. Its description in RNAcentral is "partial 16S ribosomal RNA". It matches the Rfam family "Bacterial small subunit ribosomal RNA", at positions 568 to 774 of the family's 1533-position model. The record is from RNAcentral.
CGUGUAGGCGGGUAAUUAAGUCAGGAGUGAAAUCCUAUGGCUCAACCAUAGAACUGCUCUUGAAACUGAUUACCUAGAAUAUGGGAGAGGUAGAUGGAAUUUCUGGUGUAGGGGUAAAAUCCGUAGAGAUCAGAAGGAAUACCGAUUGCGAAGGCGAUCCACUGGAACAUUAUUGACGCUGAGACGCGAAAGCGUGGGGAGCAAACA